Molecule: long non-coding RNA, 963 nt
Filed under: Eutrema salsugineum
Lineage: Eukaryota; Viridiplantae; Streptophyta; Magnoliopsida; Brassicales; Brassicaceae
Description: long non-coding RNA (ESAL_LNC002068)
Source: RNAcentral
UGAAGAUAAUAUAUAAUAAAGAAAUACCUAGGAAUCCAUUAGUUUCUCGAAUAAUGGUAGUAAAUAGUUUUUUUUGUCGUUUUUCAUUAACUUAGCCCAACAGGGCUUAAAAUAAAGGUAUACAUGAUUACAAGUCCAUCAAAAGCCCAGCAAACUAAACCUUACUACAAAUAUGACAUGUUAAAAGCUUCACUAAACACGUGUGAGCUUUUGAGAGUAGCUUUGUCCACGUGGCGUCAGUAGAAAGAGAAAAUGAUGUCAUCACUGAAACCUAUCACCGGUGACUGUUGUAGUUGCCGGCGAAACUCAUCCGUCCACCAUGGCCACUAAGCUGUUAACGCCAAGAUGUGUACCUUCGCUUCAUACCUUCCUUACUGAUCUAUAAUCAGAAAUUCUUCUUCUCCACAAAGCCAUCACCAUUCAUCAAGUCUCAUGACCUGUCUUCCUCUGCUUUGAAAAAGCGUUUUUAUAGGGGACUUUAGAGAGGUAAUACUCUCGGUCAAAAUGAGUAGAUAAAUCAAAAGAUGAAAAAGACAAAUUAUAAUUGAAGCACCACUAGAUUUAGGAAGGGAAAAGCUUCAUUUUGCUCUAUCGCUAGAUGAAUUGAGCGUUUCAACCUUUGAAUAUCAAGAGUUCAAUUCUUCUACUUUUAGAGAACCUUUGCUCCACUAAGGAUUAGCAAAGAAAUUUACUCUUUUGCAUGAGAAGAAUUAAUCAGAUACUGAUGAAAUGAGAAAACGCACAAAACAGUUUGGAAUUUUUCCAUUUAGAACAAGCAAAAGUAGAAGAAACAAAGAAAAAGAAAUCCGUUAAACGGAAGAUAACAGAUCCGACUAAUAGAAAAUAUAAACAAACAAAAAACAUCUACUUUAGUCGGAAUUAUUUAAUCCGAUUAAGAUCGGAAGAAAACUUGAGCUCUCUCUCUGAAAGAUUUUUAAGAGAGAAGAGAGAGAGAUGUGGCUG